UUGAACGCUGGCGGCAUGCUUUACACAUGCAAGUCGAACGAGAUCUUCGGAUCUAGUGGCGCACGGGUGCGUAACGCGUGGGAAUCUACCCUUGGGUUCGGAAUAACUUCGGGAAACUGAAGCUAAUACCGGAUGAUAUCGAAAGAUCAAAGAUUUAUCGCCCAGGGAUGAGCCCGCGUAGGAUUAGCUAGUUGGUGGGGUAAAGGCUCACCAAGGCUACGACCCUUAGCUGGUCUGAGAGGAUGAUCAGCCACACUGGGACUGAGACACGGCCCAGACUCCUACGGGAGGCAGCAGUAGGGAAUAUUGGACAAUGGGGGCAACCCUGAUCCAGCAAUGCCGCGUGAGUGAUGAAGGCCUUAGGGUUGUAAAGCUCUUUUACCCGAGAUGAUAAUGACAGUAUCGGGAGAAUAAGCUCCGGCUAACUCCGU
This 431-nucleotide ribosomal RNA is filed under the name uncultured bacterium. Its description in RNAcentral is "bacterial SSU rRNA". It matches the Rfam family "Bacterial small subunit ribosomal RNA", at positions 30 to 506 of the family's 1533-position model. The record is from RNAcentral.